GUUUGAUCCUGGCUCAGGAUGAACGCUAGCGGCAGGCCUAACACAUGCAAGUCGAGGGGCAGCAUGAACAAUAGCAAUAUUGUUUGAUGGCGACCGGCGCACGGGUGCGUAACACGUAUGCAAUCUGCCUUAUACUUGGGCAUAACUCCGAGAAAUCGGUGCUAAUUUCCAAUAACACUAUAGAGUGGCAUCACUCAGUAGUUAAAGCUCCGGCGGUAUAAGAUGAGCAUGCGCCCAAUUAGCUAGUUGGUGAGGUAACGGCUCACCAAGGCUACGAUUGGUAGGGGUUCUGAGAGGAUGAUCCCCCACACUGGUACUGAGACACGGACCAGACUCCUACGGGAGGCAGCAGUGAGGAAUAUUGCGCAAUGGAGGCAACUCUGACGCAGCCAUGCCGCGUGAAGGAUUGAAGGCCCUAUGGGUUGUAAACUUCUUUGUAUGGGAAAAAACGCUUACUACGUGUAGAAGCCUGAUGGUACCAUAAGAAUAAG
This 491-nucleotide ribosomal RNA is filed under the name uncultured bacterium. Its description in RNAcentral is "bacterial SSU rRNA". It matches the Rfam family "Bacterial small subunit ribosomal RNA", at positions 11 to 490 of the family's 1533-position model. The record is from RNAcentral.